CGUAAAUUCGGUGCAGGAGACGCUGGAAGACGAAUGUGUGAAUCGUUAUCCGGAGUCCAUGUGUGUAAAAGGUGCGUAGGCGGACUAAUAAGUCAGUGGUGAAAUGUCCGGGCUUAACCCGGAAACUGCCAUUGGUACUGUAAGUCGUGAGUACAGAUGAUGUUGUCUGAAUAUGACAGGGAGCGGGGAAAUGCAUAGAUAUGUCAUAGAACACCGAUUGCGAAGGCAGAUGACAAAACUGUAACUGACGCUGAGGCACGAAAGUGCGGGGAUCAAACAGGAUUUGAUACCCUAGUAGUC
RNAcentral lists this ribosomal RNA (300 nucleotides) under uncultured Corynebacterium sp. Its description in RNAcentral is "bacterial SSU rRNA". It matches the Rfam family "Bacterial small subunit ribosomal RNA", at positions 496 to 795 of the family's 1533-position model. Lineage: Bacteria; Bacillati; Actinomycetota; Actinomycetes; Mycobacteriales; Corynebacteriaceae. The record is from RNAcentral.